CCUACGGGGGGCUGCAGUCGAGAAUAGUCUACAAUGGACGAAAGUCUGAUAGUGCGACGCCGCGUGAACGAAGAAGCCCUUCGGGGUGUAAAGUUCUUUUAUAUGUGAGCAAUGCUUCUUAUAUGAAUAGUAUGAGGAGAGAGAUAUUAGCAUAUGAAUAAGCAACGGCUAACUCCGUGCCAGCAGCCGCGGUAACACGGGGGUUGCAAGCGUUGUCCGGAAUUACUAGGCGUAAAGGGCAGGUAGGCGGAUAGAUAAGUUUGAUGUUUAAGGCAGCGGCUCACCCGCUGUAAGGCAUCAGAUACUGUUUAUCUGGAAUACGGUUGGGGAAGACAGAAUUCCUGGUGUAGCGGUGGAAUGCGCAGAGAUCAGGAGGAAUACCGAAGGCGAAGGCAGUCUUCUAAGCCGUUAUUGACGCUAAACUGCGAAGGUGUGGGUAUCAAACAGGCUUAGAUACCCGAGUAGUC
Molecule: ribosomal RNA, 467 nt
Filed under: uncultured bacterium
Lineage: Bacteria
Description: bacterial SSU rRNA
Rfam family: Bacterial small subunit ribosomal RNA
Source: RNAcentral